GACGAACCGCCCGAGCGUUAUUCGGAAUCAUUGGGCUUAAAGAGCACGUAGGCGGUACUGUAAGUUGGAGGUGAAAUCCUAUCGGCUCAACCGUGGAAUUGCCCCCAAUACUGCAGAACUGGAGGGAGUAAGGGGUAUGUGGAACUUCCAGUGGAGCGGUGAAAUGUGUUGAUAUUGGAAGGAACGCCAGUGGCGAAAGCGACAUACUGGGCCUCUUCUGACGCUGAGGUGCGAAAGCUAGGGUAGCGAACGGG
RNAcentral lists this unclassified non-coding RNA (254 nucleotides) under uncultured Planctomycetia bacterium. RNAcentral describes it as "contains 16S-23S intergenic spacer region". It matches the Rfam family "Bacterial small subunit ribosomal RNA", at positions 524 to 776 of the family's 1533-position model. The record is from RNAcentral. Lineage: Bacteria; Pseudomonadati; Planctomycetota; Planctomycetia.